Molecule: non-coding RNA, 44 nt
Filed under: Trichobilharzia regenti
Lineage: Eukaryota; Metazoa; Platyhelminthes; Trematoda; Strigeidida; Schistosomatidae
Source: RNAcentral
AUCCAGAGACGAGUCCCAAAUAGGACGAAAUGCGCAUCCUGGAA